Molecule: small nucleolar RNA, 136 nt
Organism: Nomascus leucogenys (northern white-cheeked gibbon)
Lineage: Eukaryota; Metazoa; Chordata; Mammalia; Primates; Hylobatidae
Source: Ensembl
UAGGCCCUGAAUCAAGACUAGUGUUUUGCUGUAGCUGUUGGUUUCAAACAGGAUCCAAGAGUGACGUCUUCCUUGUGGGCCUGUUCGCUGCUCAGUAUCCCAGUGUGAGUGGCCAAUUCAGUUGGAAGCAACAUGG